Molecule: transfer RNA, 68 nt
Filed under: Silvatares holzenthali
Lineage: Eukaryota; Metazoa; Arthropoda; Insecta; Trichoptera; Pisuliidae
Description: tRNA-Arg
Source: RNAcentral
AAAUAAGAAGCUAAAAAAGCCUUUAAUUUCGACUUAAAAAUCUGAGUACUCAACUUACUCCUUAUUUA